UAUAAUUAAAAUAAAUUAACAAUAAUGGUUACGAAAUAGUGUGAGCUAAGAGGUACUUUUUUUUAGAAUUUUUGAGUUAACUGUAGCAAUAUUUAAUAUAUAAUAUCUUUUAGGGGCGAAAUACUAUUCCCGCACUAUGAUAUCUUAUUUAAAAAGAAAUAUAUUAAGUAUAAAGUCAAUUCAGAUAUGAUUAGGUUUCUGAAUGCCAUUAUAGCUAAUAAUUACUAAAAUAAAUUGUAUAAUAACAAUUAUUUUUAUUAAAAAAAUACCAAAUUUAGGAAUUUAUAUGUGUAUUAUUUUUAUAUGUAAAAAAAUAUUUAAGUACAUUAAUAAUGUUAUAAUUAGUAUUAAAAUAAUUAUUUAAGAGGAACUCGGCAAAUCAUUUUCUCAACUGUUUAUCAAAAACAUUGCCCAUAGAAAUUAUUUUGGGUUAACUCUGCUCAAUGGUAUUCUAAAUAGCCGCAGUACCUUGACUGUGCAAAGGUAGCAUAAUCAAUUGGCUUAUAAUUGAAGUCUGGAAUGAAUGGGUUUUUGGGGAAAAACUAUCUUUUAAUUAUAAUUAGAAUUUACUUAAUAAGUGAAAAUUCUUAUAUAUAUAUAAUAGACGAGAAGACCCUAGAAAUUUUUAAUAGAGAUUAAAAUAUUCUUUUUUGUUGGGGCGACAUUGUAACAAAUAACUUACAAAAGUUAAUUAGAACUAAUUGUUUUGAAUAAAUAAAUUACUCUAGGGAUAACAGCAUAAUUUAAUUUAAGUUUGUGACCUCGAUGUUGGACUAGGAAAUAUAUUACUCAGAAAGUAACUAUUUUUGCUCUGUUCGAGCUAUUUUUCCUACAUGAUCUGAGUUCAGACCGG
RNAcentral lists this ribosomal RNA (853 nucleotides) under Leucozonella rubens. RNAcentral's name for it is "partial 16S ribosomal RNA". Lineage: Eukaryota; Metazoa; Mollusca; Gastropoda; Stylommatophora; Hygromiidae. The record is from RNAcentral.